This 599-nucleotide ribosomal RNA is filed under the name Brachybacterium paraconglomeratum. RNAcentral describes it as "bacterial SSU rRNA". It matches the Rfam family "Bacterial small subunit ribosomal RNA", at positions 86 to 699 of the family's 1533-position model. The record is from RNAcentral. Lineage: Bacteria; Bacillati; Actinomycetota; Actinomycetes; Micrococcales; Dermabacteraceae.
ACCUGAUUAGUGGCGAACGGGUGAGUAACACGUGAGUAACCUGCCCCCCACUUCGGGAUAACCUCGGGAAAUCGUGGCUAAUACCGGAUACGAGCACUCAUCGCAUGGUGGGUGCUGGAAAGAUUUAUCGGUGGGGGAUGGACUCGCGGCCUAUCAGUUUGUUGGUGAGGUGAUGGCUCACCAAGACGAUGACGGGUAGCCGGCCUGAGAGGGCGACCGGCCACACUGGGACUGAGACACGGCCCAGACUCCUACGGGAGGCAGCAGUGGGGAAUAUUGCACAAUGGGCGAAAGCCUGAUGCAGCGACGCCGCGUGGGGGAUGACGGCCUUCGGGUUGUAAACCCCUUUCAGUAGGGAAGAAGCGAGAGUGACGGUACCUGCAGAAGAAGCGCCGGCUAACUACGUGCCAGCAGCCGCGGUAAUACGUAGGGCGCAAGCGUUGUCCGGAAUUAUUGGGCGUAAAGAGCUUGUAGGUGGCUUGUCGCGUCUGCCGUGAAAACCCGAGGCUCAACCUCGGGCGUGCGGUGGGUACGGGCAGGCUAGAGUGUGGUAGGGGAGACUGGAACUCCUGGUGUAGCGGUGAAAUGCGCAGAUAUCA